Molecule: ribosomal RNA, 41 nt
Filed under: Neocallimastix frontalis
Lineage: Eukaryota; Fungi; Neocallimastigomycota; Neocallimastigomycetes; Neocallimastigales; Neocallimastigaceae
Also listed under: 7 other names
Description: partial 28S ribosomal RNA
Source: RNAcentral
AACUUGAUCUCAAAUCAGAUAAGAGUACCCGCUGAACUUAA